AUCCAUAAGCGCCAGGGAACUACGAGCCACGCUUAAAACCCAAAGGAUUUGACGGUGUCCCACCCCCCUAGAGGAGCCUGUUCUAUAAUCGAUGAUCCCCGCUAUACCCCACCACCCCUUGCUCGUCAGUCUGUAUACCUCCGUCGAAAGCUUACCAUGUGAACGUCUAUAGUAAGUUCAAUGACCCAUGCCAAUGCGUCAACACGUCAGGUCAAGGUGCAGCUUAAGAGGUGGAAAGUGAUGGGCUACAAUUUCUAAUUUAGAACAAACGAAAGGCCAUGUGAAAUCCUGGCCACGAAGGCGGAUUUAGUAGUAAAAAGAAAAUAGAGUGUUCUUUUUAACCCGGCUCUGGGACGCGUACACACCGCCCGUCACCCUCUUCAACAGUAUUACCCAAGUUUCUAACCCAUUUUUACAUCUCAGAAGAGGCAAGUCGUAACAUGGUAAGUGUACUGGAAAGUGCACUUGGUAUAACAAAAUGUAGCUUAA
This 489-nucleotide ribosomal RNA is filed under the name Odorrana nasica (long-snout torrent frog). RNAcentral describes it as "partial 12S ribosomal RNA". It matches the Rfam family "Bacterial small subunit ribosomal RNA", at positions 856 to 1533 of the family's 1533-position model. The record is from RNAcentral. Lineage: Eukaryota; Metazoa; Chordata; Amphibia; Anura; Ranidae.